UACGUAGGGUCCGAGCGUUGUCCGGAAUUAUUGGGCGUAAAGAGCUUGUAGGCGGUUUGUCGCGUCUGCUGUGAAAACUCGGGGCUCAACUCCGAGCUUGCAGUGGGUACGGGCAGACUAGAGUGCGGUAGGGGAGACUGGAAUUCCUGGUGUAGCGGUGGAAUGCGCAGAUAUCAGGAGGAACACCGGUGGCGAAGGCGGGUCUCUGGGCCGUAACUGACGCUGAGGAGCGAAAGCAUGGGGAGCGAACAGG
This 253-nucleotide ribosomal RNA is filed under the name uncultured bacterium. RNAcentral describes it as "partial 16S ribosomal RNA". It matches the Rfam family "Bacterial small subunit ribosomal RNA", at positions 524 to 776 of the family's 1533-position model. The record is from RNAcentral.